This 26-nucleotide non-coding RNA is filed under the name Bombyx mori (domestic silkworm). RNAcentral also lists the same sequence under 1 other name. The record is from RNAcentral. Lineage: Eukaryota; Metazoa; Arthropoda; Insecta; Lepidoptera; Bombycidae.
UAAUACUGUCAGGUAAAGAUGUCUAU